UACGGAGGAUGCGAGCGUUAUCCGGAUUUAUUGGGUUUAAAGGUGCGUAGGCGGAUGGAUAAGUCAGUGGUGAAAUUCUGCAGCUUAACUGUAGACUUGCCGUUGAUACUGUUUAUCUUGAGUAUGGUCAAGGCAGGCGGAAUGUGUAAUGUAGCGGUGAAAUGCUUAGAUAUGCCACAGAACACCGAUCGCGAAGGCAGCUGGCGAGGCCGGUACUGACGCUCAGGCACGAAAGCGUGGGGAGUCAAACAGGA
Molecule: ribosomal RNA, 254 nt
Filed under: uncultured prokaryote
Description: partial 16S ribosomal RNA
Rfam family: Bacterial small subunit ribosomal RNA
Source: RNAcentral